This 253-nucleotide ribosomal RNA is filed under the name uncultured bacterium. Its description in RNAcentral is "partial 16S ribosomal RNA". It matches the Rfam family "Bacterial small subunit ribosomal RNA", at positions 524 to 776 of the family's 1533-position model. The record is from RNAcentral.
UACGUAGGGUCCGAGCGUUGUCCGGAAUUAUUGGGCGUAAAGGGCUCGUAGGCGGUUUGUCGCGUCGGGAGUGAAAACCAGGUGCUUAACACCUGGCCUGCUUUCGAUACGGGCAGACUAGAGGCAUUCAGGGGAGAACGGAAUUCCUGGUGUAGCGGUGAAAUGCGCAGAUAUCAGGAGGAACACCGGUGGCGAAGGCGGGUCUCUGGGCAGUAACUGACGCUGAGGAGCGAAAGCGUGGGGAGCGAACAGG